This 599-nucleotide ribosomal RNA is filed under the name Planococcus halocryophilus. RNAcentral describes it as "bacterial SSU rRNA". It matches the Rfam family "Bacterial small subunit ribosomal RNA", at positions 77 to 661 of the family's 1533-position model. The record is from RNAcentral. Lineage: Bacteria; Bacillati; Bacillota; Bacilli; Caryophanales; Caryophanaceae.
AGCUUGCUCCUUCUGGUUUAGCGGCGGACGGGUGAGUAACACGUGGGCAACCUGCCCUGCAGAUCGGGAUAACUCCGGGAAACCGGUGCUAAUACCGAAUAGUUUGCGGCCUCUCCUGAGGCUGCACGGAAAGACGGUUUCGGCUGUCACUGCAGGAUGGGCCCGCGGCGCAUUAGCUAGUUGGUGGGGUAAUGGCCUACCAAGGCGACGAUGCGUAGCCGACCUGAGAGGGUGAUCGGCCACACUGGGACUGAGACACGGCCCAGACUCCUACGGGAGGCAGCAGUAGGGAAUCUUCCGCAAUGGACGAAAGUCUGACGGAGCAACGCCGCGUGAGUGACGAAGGUUUUCGGAUCGUAAAACUCUGUUGUGAGGGAAGAACAAGUGCCACUUAACUACUGGCACCUUGACGGUACCUCACCAGAAAGCCACGGCUAACUACGUGCCAGCAGCCGCGGUAAUACGUAGGUGGCAAGCGUUGUCCGGAAUUAUUGGGCGUAAAGCGCGCGCAGGCGGUUCUUUAAGUCUGAUGUGAAAGCCCACGGCUCAACCGUGGAGGGUCAUUGGAAACUGGAGAACUUGAGUACAGAAGAGGAAAG